This 468-nucleotide ribosomal RNA is filed under the name uncultured bacterium. RNAcentral's name for it is "partial 16S ribosomal RNA". It matches the Rfam family "Bacterial small subunit ribosomal RNA", at positions 28 to 507 of the family's 1533-position model. The record is from RNAcentral.
GACGAACGCUGGCGGCGUGCUUAACACAUGCAAGUCGAACGGAAAGGCCCUGCUUUUGUGGGGUGCUCGAGUGGCGAACGGGUGAGUAACACGUGAGUAACCUGCCCUUGACUUUGGGAUAACUUCAGGAAACUGGGGCUAAUACCGGAUAGGAGCUCCUGCUGCAUGGUGGGGGUUGGAAAGUUUCGGCGGUUGGGGAUGGACUCGCGGCUUAUCAGCUUGUUGGUGGGGUAGUGGCUUACCAAGGCUUUGACGGGUAGCCGGCCUGAGAGGGUGACCGGCCACAUUGGGACUGAGAUACGGCCCAGACGCCUACGGGAGGCAGCAGUGGGGAAUAUUGCACAAUGGGCGGAAGCCUGAUGCAGCAGCGCCGCGUGCGGGAUGACGGCCUUCGGGUUGUAAACCGCUUUCGCCUGUGACGAAGCGGGAGUGACGGUAAUGGGUAAAGAAGCACCGGCUAACUACGUG